Molecule: ribosomal RNA, 405 nt
Filed under: uncultured bacterium
Lineage: Bacteria
Description: bacterial SSU rRNA
Rfam family: Bacterial small subunit ribosomal RNA
Source: RNAcentral
UGAGGAAUAUUGCCCAAUGGAGGAAACUCUGAGGCAGCGACGCCGCGUGGGUGAUGAAGGCCUUCGGGUCGUAAAGCCCUUUUCUGCGUGACGAGACAAGGACGGUAGCGCAGGAAAAAGUCUCGGCUAACUACGUGCCAGCAGCCGCGGUAAAACGUAGGAGGCAAGCGUUAUCCGGAGUUACUGGGCGUAAAGCGUGCGUAGGCGGAUGGGUAAGUGGGUGGUGAAAGCGCUCGGCUAAACCGGGCGAGUGCCAUUCAGACUGCCUAUCUAGAGGCGGAUAGAGGGGUGCGGAAUUCCGGGUGUAGCGGUGAAAUGUGUAGAGAUCCGGAGGAACACCAGUGGUGCAAACGGCGCCCUGGGUCCGAACUGACGCUGAGGCACGAAAGCGUGGGGAGCGAACGG